AAAAAAUGCAACAAAACAAAUGGAAAUGAGGGAACGUUAGACAUAACCCCCGCAGCCAAGAUACCCCCAUUUUAAGCUCUCCCAAAAUCCCUCCCUCCCGAUCGACAUCACACCCACCAUCCCCUCCGAUGCUGCCACACCUCCGGUCACUAUACAAACAUCGGAAAACACAUGUGAACGGCAACACACUCAUUUCCCCCAAUUUGAGGUCUGCCAAAAUCCCUCUCACAGUAUACGACACACCCACUAUCCCCUUUGGCGUCGCCGCACCUCCGGUCAGAAUAUAAACACCAGCGACCAUUUUUCCACUUAUUGCGGUUGAAGCCUCGAGAAAUGGGAGCUUGGUGGGGUUGAUUUCGACUUUCUGCUCCAAGGAUAAUAGCUCUGUUGUUCGGGUAUUUGCUUGCAACCUCCAGCGACAAUCUUGGCUAUCCUAGAGUGGAAGAGAAUAUGGAAUACGUGAAUGAUGACCUGUUGGUGGAGUCCAAUAAUGAGAACGUUGCGGAUUAUAUGAACAGGGAUGAAGAAGAAACAUUAAGACAAAAUGAUCCGAUUGUGCCAAAGGUCAGUAUGAUGUUCAACAACGAAAAAGAAAUGUUUGAGAUGUACAAGAGAUAUGCUUAUCAUAUAGGUUUUUCCCUUAGAAAACAAAACUCAAAAAAGGGGGAUGAUGGCGUUUUGAGAUAUGUAACGUUCACAUGCAGUCGUGAAGGCAGAAGAAGUAGUAAUGCAAGUGGGCUUUUGAAACCUAAACCAAUCAGUCAGACUGGCUGUAAAGUAAGGAUCUCAGCUUCUUCAGAUAGCCAUGGAAUGUGGAGAAUUAACACAGUCCACCUUGAUCACAACCAUGAGACUAGUCCUUCCAAAUCUAGGUUGUAUCGAUGCAAUAGGGAGUUGAGUGCAAAUGUGAAACAUAAACUUGAAGUAAAUGAUAUGACAGGAAUUUCAUUACAUAAAAGUUACAACUCCGCAGUUGCGAAAGUAGGUGGAUAUGAGAAUAUGACUUGUAUAGAGAAGGACUGUGGAAGCUAUAUUGAACAAGUUCGAUGAUUAAGACUUGGAGAGGUACAGUCCUACUUUUCGAAAAUGUGAGUAUGGUGCUUGGGUUUUUACUUUAGCAUUGACUUAGAUGAUGACUCUCGACUAAAGAAUGUCUUUUGGACAGAUAAUAGGUGUAGGUAAGUGUAUAAAGAGUUCGAUGGUGUUGUCACAUUUGAUACCACCUACCUCACUAACAAGUAUGACAUGCCGUUUCCUCCUUUCGUUGGAGUGAAUCAUCAUAGACAAUCAACAUUAUUUGGUUGUGGUUUGUUAGCUAAUGAGAACACGGAUACGUUUGUCUCGCUAUUUAGGACAUGGCUUGAGUACAUGCAUGGACAAGCUCCGAAUGCAAUAAUUAUUGAUCAAGAUCGAGCAAUGCAAAACGCAAUUGGGAUUGUUUUCCCAUGUACGAGACAUAGAUGGUGUUUGUGGUAUAUUUUGAAGAAGUUGCCAAAGAAGUUUAUCUAUCAUGUCGAUAAGGGCUUGAUAUUUUCAGCAUUACAUAAUUUGGUUUAUGAUUCACAAACUGUUAAAGAAUUUGAAGAAGGUUGAAACAGAUGAUCGAUACAUAUGACUUGCAUGAGAAUAAUUGGUUGUUAGGAUUGUGUGAUAAUAGAGGUCGUUGGGUUCCUUACUUCUUAAGAACCACAUUCUGGGCAGGGAUGUCCACAACUCAAUGAAGUCAGAGUAUAAAUGCGUUCUUCAUUGGAUAUGUGCAUUCGAAAAUCUCAUUGAAGCAAUUUGUAGAGUAGUACGAAAGAGCACUGAGGAGUAAGGUAGAGUAGGAGUUUCAGGCUGAUUUCAGGUCAUACUAACAAAUGGUGCCAUUUGCAACGAAUUACGAAAUUGAGAAGCAUUUUCAGUCAGUUUAUACCAUUUAGAAGUUCAAAGAAGUAUAAAUGAGUUCAAGGGAAAGGUUUAUUACGACCUUAUUUCUGCUUCUGAAGGAUGUUUGGUGACGACAUAUGAGGUGCGUGAGAAUGUGAUGUAUUAUGGGCAACGAAAGAAAAAAACAUUUUCUAUCUUAUUUAAUAUGGAGCAUGUGAGAUAAUUGCCGUUGCCACUCAUUCGAGUUCAGGGGAAUCAUUUUUAGACAUGCAAUUACAAUAUUGAUUCGAAACAACGUCACACGACUGCCCGAGAAGUACACGCUACGGAGAUGGAAGAGAGAUGUCAGUAGAGCACACACGAGGAUUGCAGUGAACUACGAUGGUCUAGUCAGUACUCUUGGACAAUUGAGAUAUGACAAGAUGUGUAAGGCUUUUUUGCAUGUGAUCGACCUCGCUGUAGAUGACGAAAUCCAGACACGUGUUAUAAUGGACUGGAUAAAAUUUCAAGCUACAGAGCUUAUGUCAACGAAAUUGUGUAUUGGAAAUAGUAUCAUUUCGCAGCAUACUCUUCAUUUUAGUCUCGCAAUGUACUAAUUCGCAAACUACCGGUAGCGGGAGCAUACGGGAUCCUAAAUUAACAAAGCGGAAGGCACACCACGGAGACUUCGGAGGAAAAGUCCAUUGGAGCCUACGUCAAAGAAAUCAAGAGUGAUGUACUUUGCUAGCGUCUCAUUUGUAGUACAAUCUUUUCUCAUGUAUUUCGGGUGUACAUGCACGCGACAUCAUGUAAAGGAAAGAGACCAAGAGUUAGACAAAGUAAUGUAAAAGAGGCAGUUCCUGAUUUUGCGACCUCUGAACAACAAUAUUCCACUCAGACACCUUUCUUAUAUUAACAACUCUUAUUAGUUAGUACUUUGUGGUUCUCGUGAUUAUUAGGUUGCUUUUUUAUUCACGUUAUUGUGUGAUGCAGGGCAACACCGAACGUCAAGUAUUUACACAAGAUUUGCGAUCAUCGAAUUUUAUCCCGCCAUCAUCAAUGAAUGUUGAAUUCAAUGCCAAAGGGAUGUACAAUUUGUAUCACAUGAUUCGGAUUGGAUUCUUAAGUACUAAAUUUGACUACUUUUGUUACAGAAGUACAAGAAAGCAGAGAGUUGCCCUGGAUAUGCAUAUAAAACAUAGUGAAUUCAAAUGUAGAAGUCUCCCCUUGAUAAUCGGACUCUCAUUUUGGACCUGGCCUAUUCAUGUUAGUCCAUUGCCCAUUGCAUUUUUGAAGUAGUGUGGGGAAGCACAUGACUUCCCAAGAUUCCUUAUAUUUUUGAAGCAUGUAGGAUAAAGACGAGGUGAUUUUUUCUCUACGCUUGUGGUUUACUCUAAUUCGAUCGAGGUAGUGUAGGGAUGUAUAUAUUGGUCAGAUAUCAUAUUUUGAAUAGGAAAAUGUGUUCUUCGCUGCUUGUUUUUGGAGUCCAACAUUGAUGAACAUAUCAAUUCGAGUUGCUGCUCUAAACCAGUAGGACUUGAGUACCUAUUUAUCCAGUUUCUCAUUUGUAUGCUUAUUGUAUUGUAUAUGUUGUUUUUGGAGUUUCUUGGUAUAAAUUAAAUACAACUUGUGUACUUAAA
Olea europaea var. sylvestris is the source of this 3488-nucleotide RNA transcript. RefSeq lists it as uncharacterized. The record is from RefSeq and is a predicted model, not a curated record. Lineage: Eukaryota; Viridiplantae; Streptophyta; Magnoliopsida; Lamiales; Oleaceae. The transcript has 3 exons.